Nomascus leucogenys (northern white-cheeked gibbon) is the source of this 605-nucleotide non-coding RNA. Lineage: Eukaryota; Metazoa; Chordata; Mammalia; Primates; Hylobatidae. The record is from the annotation of a RefSeq genome assembly.
CAGCAUUGCAGCAGCUCCGCCAUGGCCUGGGCUCUGCUCCUCACCCUCCUCAGUCUCCUCACAGGGUCCCUCUCCCAGCCUGUGCUGACUCAGCCACCCUCGGCAUCGGCCUCCCUGGGAGCAUCGGUCACACUCGCCUGCACCCUGAGCAGUGGCUACAGUAAUUAUAAGGUGGACUGGCACCAGCAGAGACCAGGGAAGGGCCCUCGGUUUGUGAUGCGAGUGGGCACUGGUGGGAUUGUGGGAUCCAAGGGGGAUGGCAUCCCUGAUCGCUUCUCAGGCUCGGGCUCGGGCCUGAAUCGGUACCUGACCAUCAAGAACAUCCAGGAAGAGGAUGAGAGUGACUACCACUGUGGGGCAGACCAUGGCAGUGGGAGCAACUUCGUGUAACCCACAGUGACACAGGCAGAGGGGAAGUGAGACAAAAACCUCCCGGCUGAUCUACUCUGUCCACACUUCCUUCCCACUGGCCUGACUCACAGUUCAGAGGCCUGUCUCCUAACUCCGUAUUUAAAGUUUUCACCUUCCUAGACAUUUUGGAGUUCUAAUUCACAGCAAAUGUUCCCUGUGUGUAAAUAUUUUCUCAAGAGCUUUUAAACAUUGAA